This 955-nucleotide ribosomal RNA is filed under the name Fusarium neocosmosporiellum. RNAcentral's name for it is "partial 18S ribosomal RNA". It matches the Rfam family "Eukaryotic small subunit ribosomal RNA", at positions 51 to 1016 of the family's 1831-position model. Lineage: Eukaryota; Fungi; Ascomycota; Sordariomycetes; Hypocreales; Nectriaceae. The record is from RNAcentral.
AUGCAUGUCUAAGUAUAAGCAAUUAUACAGCGAAACUGCGNAUGGCUCAUUAUAUAAGUUAUCGUUUAUUUGAUAGUACCUUACUACUUGGAUAACCGUGGUAAUUCUAGAGCUANUACAUGCUAAAAAUCCCGACUUCGGAAGGGAUGUAUUUAUUAGAUUAAAAACCAAUGCCCUCCGGGGCUCACUGGUGAUUCAUGAUAACUCCUCGAAUCGCAUGGCCUUGCGCCGGCGAUGGUUCAUUCAAAUUUCUUCCCUAUCAACUUUCGAUGUUUGGGUAUUGGCCAAACAUGGUUGCAACGGGUAACGGAGGGUUAGGGCUCGACCCCGGAGAAGGAGCCUGAGAAACGGCUACUACAUCCAAGGAAGGCAGCAGGCGCGCAAAUUACCCAAUCCCGACACGGGGAGGUAGUGACAAUAAAUACUGAUACAGGGCUCUUUUGGGUCUUGUAAUUGGAAUGAGUACAAUUUAAAUCCCUUAACGAGGAACANNNNNNNNNNNNNNNNNNNNNNNNNNNNNNNNNNNNNUCCAGAUCCAAUAGCGUAUAUUAAAGUUGUUGUGGUUAAAAAGCUCGUAGUUGAACCUUGGGCCUGGCUGGCCGGUCCGCCUCACCGCGUGUACUGGUCCGGCCGGGCCUUUCCCUCUGUGGAACCCCAUGCCCUUCACUGGGUGUGGCGGGGAAACAGGACUUUUACUGUGAAAAAAUUAGAGUGCUCCAGGCAGGCCUAUGCUCGAAUACAUUAGCAUGGAAUAAUAGAAUAGGACGUGUGGUUCUAUUUNGUUGGUUUCUAGGACCGCCGUAAUGAUUAAUAGGGACAGUCGGGGGCAUCAGUAUUCAAUUGUCAGAGGUGAAAUUCUUGGAUCAGUUGAAGACUAACUACUGCGAAAGCAUUUGCCAAGGAUGUUUUCAUUAAUCAGGAACGAAAGUUAGGGGAUCGAAGACGAUCAGAUACC